GAUGAAGAACGUGGCGAAAUGCGAUAAGUAAUGUGAAUUGCAGAAUUCAGUGAAUCAUCGAAUCUUUGAACGCACCUUGCGCUCUUUGGUAUUCCGAAGAGCAUGCCUGUUUGAGUGUCAUGAAAAUAUCAACCUUGACUUGGGUUUUGUGCUCUAGUCUCGGCUUGGAAUUGGGUGCUUGCCGCUUUUACGAGCGGCUCACCUUAAAUGUAUUAGCUGGAUCUGUCUUUGAGACUUGGUUUGACUUGGCGUAAUAAGUAUUUCGCUAAGGACAUUCUUCGGAGUGGCCUCGUUUCUAGGACGCUUGUCCGCUUUCCAAUACAAGUUCCACCUCGUGGACAUGACUUUUUAUUAUCUGGCCUCAAAUCAGGUAGGACUACCCGCUGAACUUAAGCAUAUCAAUAAGCGGAGGA
RNAcentral lists this unclassified non-coding RNA (413 nucleotides) under soil metagenome. RNAcentral describes it as "partial contains 5.8S ribosomal RNA, internal transcribed spacer 2, and large subunit ribosomal RNA". The stretch from base 1 to 120 matches the Rfam family "5.8S ribosomal RNA", at positions 35 to 154 of the family's 154-position model. The record is from RNAcentral.